AUGCACGCUGGCGGCGUGCCUCAUACCUGCCAGUCGAGCGAACAGAUGAGGAUCUUGCUCCUCUGACGUUAGCGGCGGACGGGUGAGUAACACGUGGAUAACCUACCUAUAAGACUGGGAUAACUUCGGGAAACCGGAGCUAAUACCGGAUAAUAUAUUGAACCGCAUGGUUCAAUAGUGAAAGACGGUUUUGCUGUCACUUAUAGAUGGAUCCGCGCCGCAUUAGCUAGUUGGUAAGGUAACGGCUUACCAAGGCAACGAUGCGUAGCCGACCUGAGAGGGUGAUCGGCCACACUGGAACUGAGACACGGUCCAGACUCCUACGGGAGGCAGCAGUAGGGAAUCUUCCGCAAUGGGCGAAAGCCUGACGGAGCAACGCCGCGUGAGUGAUGAAGGUCUUCGGAUCGUAAAACUCUGUUAUUAGGGAAGAACAAAUGUGUAAGUAACUAUGCACGUCUUGACGGUACCUAAUCAGAAAGCCACGGCUAACUACGUG
This 496-nucleotide ribosomal RNA is filed under the name uncultured bacterium. RNAcentral's name for it is "partial 16S ribosomal RNA". It matches the Rfam family "Bacterial small subunit ribosomal RNA", at positions 29 to 507 of the family's 1533-position model. The record is from RNAcentral.